UGAGGAAUAUUCCACAAUGGACGAAAGUCUGAUGGAGCGACGCCGCGUGCGGGAUGAAGGCCUUCGGGUCGUAAACCGCUUUUUUGUGGGACUACUUCGAAUGUACCACAAGAAUAAGUCACGGCUAAUCACGUGCCAGCAGCCGCGGUAAUACGUGAGUGGCAAACGUUAUCCGGAAUUACUGGGCGUAAAGCGUCACUAGGGUGCUUUGUAAGUACAAUGUUAAAUCUACUCGCUCAACGGGUAGGCCGCGUUGUAUACUGUAAGGCUUGAGGUAUGUAGAGGUGGGCGGAAUUCCCAGAGUAGGGGUAAUAUCCGUAGAUACUGGGAGGAACACCAAUAGCGAAGGCAGCUCACUGGACAUCACCUGACCCUCAAUGACGAAAGCGUGGGGAGCGAACCGG
RNAcentral lists this ribosomal RNA (404 nucleotides) under uncultured bacterium. Its description in RNAcentral is "bacterial SSU rRNA". It matches the Rfam family "Bacterial small subunit ribosomal RNA", at positions 355 to 776 of the family's 1533-position model. The record is from RNAcentral.